Molecule: long non-coding RNA, 513 nt
Filed under: Salmo salar (Atlantic salmon)
Lineage: Eukaryota; Metazoa; Chordata; Actinopteri; Salmoniformes; Salmonidae
Description: lncRNA (ENSSSAG00000084312.1)
Source: RNAcentral
UGAGACUGUAGACACUAGAGCCGCAAUGGAGGUGUGACUGUAGACACUGUAGAGCCGCAAUGGAGGUGUGACGGUAGACACUGUAGAGCCGCAAUGGAGGUGAGAUCGUAGACACUGUAGAGCCGCAAUGGAGGUGAGACUGUAGACACUGUAGAGCCGCAAUGGAGGUGAGACUGUGGACACUGUAGAGCUGCAAUGGAGGUGAGACUGUAGACACUGUAGAGCCGCAAUGGAGGUGAGACUAGACACUGUAGAGCCGCAAUGGAGGUGAGACUGUAGACACUGUAGAGACUGUAGACACUGUAGAGCCACAAUGGAGGCUGAAAACUGCCUAACCAGCUCUGCUAGGGCCAGUAAGAUGGUCAGAGUGAGCUGUUCUCUCGUUUGUGUCUGGAAGUAGCUAGCACGUUAGCCAGUUAGCUUGGGUGUUUGACUGCCGUUGUGAGGUCAGAACGCUCAGAUCAACCCUACUGCAGCUGCUUCCACCGUUGGGGUUCCAGGACAGAGAAGAGC